Molecule: ribosomal RNA, 234 nt
Filed under: uncultured bacterium
Lineage: Bacteria
Description: partial 16S ribosomal RNA
Rfam family: Bacterial small subunit ribosomal RNA
Source: RNAcentral
CGCACGGUGAGUAACACGUAGGUAAUGUGCCUUUGGGUGGGGAAUAACUUAGGGAAACUUAAGCUAAUACCGCAUAAUGCGAUAACUUCUUCGGAAGAUUUUGUUAAAGAUUUAUCGCCUGAAGAGCAGCCUGCGGCAGAUUAGCUAGUUGGUAAGGUAACGGCUUACCAAGGCUACGAUCUGUAUCCGACCUGAGAGGGUGGUCGGACACACUGACACUGAAUAACGGGUCAG